GAUUGUCACUAAUCCAUGCUCUGUCUUACUGUCAUUAUAAAAUGUUAACUAAAUAUCUGAACACCACAUUACUUAAUACUUCUUUCUCCACUUUUACAUGUUUUAUUACCUCUAACCAAAUUUUCUUUCCAUACAACUCCUCUUCAAGGUAUCAAUGUUAAUAUUUCUUCACAUUCACUCUCCGAUUCAGCCAAAAUCUUCCAAGACUUUCUCCUCUCUGUCACCAGUGUGGCACCAUAAACACACAUGGCAGUUCUCUCAUUUAAGAUUUUUAAGUAUAAUAUCUAAGUAGAUAUAAACAAGCUGCAGAGAAAAAAGCAAGGGAAGAAAUGGAAAGUGUGAAGCUAAAAGAAUUAGACCUUCCUACAAAUUACACGUAUUUCACAGAAACAGCCUUUUGUGACAUUAAAGUUGACAUUUCUUUGAAUUUUCAUUAAAAUGUAGUAAGUGAAAGUUCCAGUCGUAUGCUCAUCAAAACCAAAUAACUUUCUGAAUACUUAAAUUCAAUAACUUUUUAAAAUGUCUUUCUUACAAAUGUUCUCCAUCAACAAUAAGGUCUGCUAAUGUUAUGGUGGGAUAAGCACAAAAUUAGGAGACAAUGAAGGUGAUGGAAAAUAAAGGCAAUAAUUCAAAGGAAAAGAUGCAGAAAGAUAUCAGGGAAGACAAGGAACGUAAGCAAGCACGAAGUUACCCAAGAUACCCAGCCCUACACACUGCACACUGCAAAACAAUAGGCAAAAGAUUAAAAGGUAAAGAAAAAUUCUAUCCAAUGAAAUUCAAAAUUAUCAAGUUCUCAAUGUGAAUACUUUAAUAACAUCCAAAGGCAUUUUUUCGGUCAGCACAACACCACCUUCAACAACAGCAUGGAAUGCUGAAUGGCAGUCAUUUCUUUCAAUUAAGUUCAUACAUUAUACUGUAAAUAAAAGAGUUUGAUAACACAUUGCAAGGUAAUUAAUACUCACACAUCACAUACAGAUGAAAAGUCUGUCGUGUCUCAUUGUGCAUCCAUUACAGGCAAAUGUAUAAAUGGAUAUAAUAUAGCAUAUGGUGUUCAAAUACACAGUGCAUGAAAUAACAAAUGUUCAGGUGACUUUAGUAAUCAGUGUACCCAUGAAACUGCACACUAACUCAUGAAUGCACAAACAUAACUCAUUCAUGAAUGCUAGUACAAAUGCACACAUGGAUGUACACAGACACACACACACACACACACACACACACACACACACACACACACACAAUGCACACUGAUAUACAUCACAAA
Long non-coding RNA from Portunus trituberculatus (swimming crab), 1264 nucleotides. RefSeq lists it as uncharacterized. NCBI's taxonomy places the organism in Eukaryota, Metazoa, Arthropoda, Malacostraca, Decapoda, Portunidae. The record is from RefSeq and is a predicted model, not a curated record. The transcript is spliced from 2 exons.